RNAcentral lists this ribosomal RNA (460 nucleotides) under uncultured bacterium. RNAcentral describes it as "partial 16S ribosomal RNA". It matches the Rfam family "Bacterial small subunit ribosomal RNA", at positions 338 to 795 of the family's 1533-position model. The record is from RNAcentral.
CCUACGGGCGGCUGCAGUGAGGAAUAUUGGUCAAUGGGCGCGAGCCUGAACCAGCCAAGUAGCGUGAAGGAUGACUGCCCUACGGGUUGUAAACUUCUUUUGUCAGGGAGCAAUUGAGUCCACGUGUGGUCUUAGCGAGAGUACCUGAAGAAAAAGCAUCGGCUAACUCCGUGCCAGCAGCCGCGGUAAUACGGAGGCUGCGAGCGUUAUCCGGAUUUAUUGGGUUUAAAGGGUGCGUAGGCGGAAUAUCAAGUCAGCGGUAAAACUUGGGGGCUCAAACCGGUCGUGACGUUGAUACUGAUGUUCUUGAGUGGGCGAGAAGUAGGCGGAAUGCGUGGUGUAGCGGUGAAAUGCAUAGAGAUCACGCAGAACUCCGAUUGCGAAGGCAGCAUACCGGCGCCCAACUGACGCUGAAGCACGAAAGCGUGGGUAUCGAACAGGAUUAGAUACCCGGGUAGUC